UCGCCUGUUUUUUCAAAAACAUAGCCCCUUGUAAAUAUAAAGGGUAAAGCCUGCCCAAUGGAAAUAUCUAAAUGGCCGCGGUAUCUUAACCGUGCAAAGGUAGCAUAAUCAUUUGUCUCUUAAAUAGAGACUCGUAUGAACGGCACAACAUUUUUUGACUGUCUCCUUUCUUUAUCUUCUAAACUUCUAUUAACGUGAAGAAGCGUUACUAAAAAAGAAAGACGAGAAGACCCCGUCGAGCUUUAACUCCUAAAAGAACUAACAAACCCUUUAAGAAGAAACAUAUCUUUUUAGAAGUAUUGGUUGGGGCAACCAUUGAGUAGAACAACCCUCAAGAAAAUAAAUAGAUAAUAUAUCACUUUUACUAACAAAGAACCACUAAUAAUGAAAACAGAAAAAGUUACCGCAGGGAUAACAGCGUUAUCUCCUUUAAGAGUUCAUAUUGACAAGGAGGAUUGCGACCUCGAUGUUGGAUUGGGGCUACCUAAGGGUGCAACAGCUCUUAAAGGUUGGACUGUUCGUCCAAUAACCCCCUACGUGAUCU
This 544-nucleotide ribosomal RNA is filed under the name Psolidium dorsipes. RNAcentral's name for it is "partial 16S ribosomal RNA". It matches the Rfam family "Bacterial large subunit ribosomal RNA", at positions 1796 to 2606 of the family's 2925-position model. The record is from RNAcentral. Lineage: Eukaryota; Metazoa; Echinodermata; Holothuroidea; Dendrochirotida; Psolidae.